Molecule: long non-coding RNA, 468 nt
Organism: Aegilops tauschii subsp. strangulata
Lineage: Eukaryota; Viridiplantae; Streptophyta; Magnoliopsida; Poales; Poaceae
Source: RefSeq, a predicted model, not a curated record
CUCCACCGAUCGAAAGCACCAUCGAAAAGAAGGCCACAUCCAAUCGCCUCUUCAAUCAAGAUGCAGAUCUUUGUGAAGACCCUGACUGGCAAGACUAUCACCCUUGAGGUGGAGUCAUCAGACACUAUCGACAAUGUUAAGGCCAAGAUCCAGGAUAAGGAGGGCAUCCCACCGGACCAGCAACGCUUGAUCUUUGCUGGCAAGCAGCUAGAGGAUGGCCGCACCCUUGCUGACUACAACAUCCAGAAGGAGUCGACCCUCCACCUUGUCCUCCGCCUCCGUGGUGGCCUGUGAGCCUGCCUGCUUGCUACAUGAUGCGCUGUGUGCAUCGUCCAUCUUAGUUUUAUGUUGAAGUUGAGUAGUCAUGGAUGUUCAUUUAGUUUGUUUGUAGUGUCUUCAAUCAGUCGUCGAACAUUGAACCAGUCAUUUUGUUUAAGGGAAAAUUAUGCUAUAAUCUGUUUGCUUUGA